RNAcentral lists this ribosomal RNA (602 nucleotides) under Helix pomatia (Roman snail). Its description in RNAcentral is "partial 16S ribosomal RNA". Lineage: Eukaryota; Metazoa; Mollusca; Gastropoda; Stylommatophora; Helicidae. The record is from RNAcentral.
AGAUAUUAUUCCCUUGUAGUGUAGUUUAAUAGCUAUCUACAUAGUAACUUAACAUUAAGUAUGUUAGUUUAUAUAUUAUAGUAUGACUUUAACAAUUUUGUUAAUAAAUUGAAAAUGUUAGUAUUAGUAAUAUUAGUAUGUGUGCUAAAGGAACUCGGCAAAAAACCGCUCAACUGUUUAUCAAAAACAUAGCUAUAUGAAUUAGUAUAUAGUUGUUUCUGCUCAAUGACUUAAAUAGCCGCAGUACUCUGACUGUGCAAAGGUAGCAUAAUCAGUUGGCUUUUAAUUAAAGUCUGGUAUGAACGAAAAUAUGGGUAGUAACUGUCUUAGCACAUUUCUUUGAACUUGUUAAACAAGUGCAAAUGCUUGUAAUUAAACAAUAGACGAGAAGACCCUAGAAACUUGGACAUAUUUUUGUUGGGGCGACAGAAUUACAUUUAACUAAUCUUCUAAUACAUGACGCGAUGCUGAAAGAAUAAGUUACUCUAGGGAUAACAGCAUAAUUUCAUUAGUUUGUGACCUCGAUGUUGGACUAGGUACUAUACCCUUAAGGCAAGGAUAUAUUGUGCUCUGUUCGAGCAAAAUUACCUACAUGAUCUGAG